UGGUCAUGGCGAGAAUUGAACGUUCAACCUACUGAUUAAAGGCCAGUUGCUCUACCGGCUGAGCCAUGCACC
Molecule: non-coding RNA, 72 nt
Organism: Brugia pahangi
Lineage: Eukaryota; Metazoa; Nematoda; Chromadorea; Rhabditida; Onchocercidae
Source: the annotation of a GenBank genome assembly